Molecule: long non-coding RNA, 403 nt
Organism: Symphalangus syndactylus (siamang)
Lineage: Eukaryota; Metazoa; Chordata; Mammalia; Primates; Hylobatidae
Source: RefSeq, a predicted model, not a curated record
GCUUCAACCCAGGAGGGGCCCAAGGCAACCUAGAGAGUGAAUGAGAAGGCAGAAAAAAAUCAAGGCAGUAAGAUGGAGAAGCAAGUCGUCUCUCUUCCACUGCAGGAGUGACAGACCACUAUCUAUUGCCUGAGAGGGGCCAGCCACCAGGAUGAAUUUGAAGAGGCAGUUUGGGAAAGGAAAGUAGCUGUGCUCUGCUUAAAAUCUUACGUUCCAGAAGAAUCAAGAUCCAGAUGUGAUCGAGGAACUUCUCAUGACAGUGGAGAAACUCAGCCUGCCAAUAUUACUAAAGGGAAAAAAAGGUUUUGAGGUAGAUAUCCUCCAGAUUUUGUUGGAUAAGGGGGAAUUAAUAAUGUGGCAUAUGAGAUCAGUCCCAUAAUGAGGGAGAAAAGAUCAGAGGAAU